AUGAACGCUGGCGGCGUGCCUAAUACCUGCCAGUCGAGCGAACAGACGAGGAGCUUGCUCCUCUGACGUUAGCGGCGGACGGGUCAGUAACACGUGGAUAACCUACCUAUAAGACUGGGAUAACUUCGGGAAACCGGAGCUAAUACCGGAUAAUAUAUUGAACCGCAUGGUUCAAUAGUGAAAGACGGUUUUGCUGUCACUUAUAGAUGGAUCCGCGCCGCAUUAGCUAGUUGGUAAGGUAACGGCUUACCAAGGCAACGAUGCGUAGCCGACCUGAGAGGGUGAUCGGCCACACUGGAACUGAGACACGGUCCAGACUCCUACGGGAGGCAGCAGUAGGGAAUCUUCCGCAAUGGGCGAAAGCCUGACGGAGCAACGCCGCGUGAGUGAUGAAGGUCUUCGGAUCGUAAAACUCUGUUAUUAGGGAAGAACAAAUGUGUAAGUAACUAUGCACGUCUUGACGGUACCUAAUCAGAAAGCCACGGCUAACUACGUG
Molecule: ribosomal RNA, 496 nt
Filed under: uncultured bacterium
Lineage: Bacteria
Description: partial 16S ribosomal RNA
Rfam family: Bacterial small subunit ribosomal RNA
Source: RNAcentral